GAUGAACGCUGGCGGCGUGCCUAAUACAUGCAAGUCGAGCGAACGGACGAGAAGCUUGCUUCUCUGAUGUUAGCGGCGGACGGGUGAGUAACACGUGGAUAACCUACCUAUAAGACUGGGAUAACUUCGGGAAACCGGAGCUAAUACCGGAUAAUAUUUUGAACCGCAUGGUUCAAAAGUGAAAGACGGUCUUGCUGUCACUUAUAGAUGGAUCCGCGCUGCAUUAGCUAGUUGGUAGGGUAACGGCUUACCAAGGCAACGAUGCAUAGCCGACCUGAGAGCGGGAUCGGCCACACUGGAACUGAGACGCGGUCCAGACUCCUACGGGAGGCAGCAGUAGGUAAUCUUCCGCAAUGGGCGAAAGCCUGACGGAGCAACGCCGCGUGAGUGAUGAAGGUCUUCGGAUCGUAAAACUCUGUUAUUGGGGAAGAACAUAUGUGUAAGUAACUGUGCGCGUCUUGACGGUACCGAAUCAGAAGGCCACGGCUAACUACGU
RNAcentral lists this ribosomal RNA (496 nucleotides) under uncultured bacterium. Its description in RNAcentral is "partial 16S ribosomal RNA". It matches the Rfam family "Bacterial small subunit ribosomal RNA", at positions 28 to 506 of the family's 1533-position model. The record is from RNAcentral.